UACGUAGGGACCGAGCGUUGUCCGGAAUCAUUGGGCGUAAAGAGCGUGUAGGCGGCUAUUUAAGUCCUGCGUGAAAUCCUGCGGCUCAACCGCAGACGGUCGUGGGAAACUGGAUGGCUAGAGUGCGGGAGAGGAUGGUGGAAUUCCCGGUGUAGCGGUGAAAUGCGUAGAGAUCGGGAGGAACAUCAGUGGCGAAGGCGGCCAUCUGGGACAACACUGACGCUGAGGCACGAAAGCGUGGGGAGCAAACAGG
This 253-nucleotide ribosomal RNA is filed under the name uncultured bacterium. RNAcentral describes it as "partial 16S ribosomal RNA". It matches the Rfam family "Bacterial small subunit ribosomal RNA", at positions 524 to 776 of the family's 1533-position model. The record is from RNAcentral.